CUUAAAGAUUAAUUAUCAGCGGUCCCUCCUAGAACUGCAAGAAUUGGGGUACUCAGACUUGGUGUGGGGGAUAUCCCUUCAUCCAGAGCAUGUACAGAGCUGCAUACUCUUUCCAGAAUCCCUUAACAAGUUCUGCAAGUUAUUUUUAGGAAAAGUUCUUGGUGAAUGCCAGGAGGCCCAAGAUCUAUCAUUUACAAAGAAACAGAAGUGCCGGCACUUGGUGUGUAAUGUCUGACAGCUGGCAUUCUGCACCUUCCAGACAAGUCAGUCUUGUAUAGGAAGCCUGCUGCCCUGGGAAGCAAGCACACUCAGCCUAGAAGAAAUCACAGGAAGUAAUUAAACAGAGAAGGAAGGCAAUAAAAGACUUAAGGUCCCUACCCCACACCCCAGCAUUUAGAUACUCCAUCUGAAGUCUUGAACUGAUGCCACCACCCAGCAGUUUCCAAAUAAGUGAUUGAAAACCCAUAAGCACGGCAAGUGUUUAUGAACCAAAUACAUAAUGUCACUCAUACAUAUCUGUUACUCUCUUGUACUGCAUAGCUCCUUUACAGAAUAAUAAAAACACAACCUCAUUAAAACACU
Molecule: non-coding RNA, 582 nt
Organism: Manis javanica (Malayan pangolin)
Lineage: Eukaryota; Metazoa; Chordata; Mammalia; Pholidota; Manidae
Source: RefSeq, a predicted model, not a curated record